AAGUGGAAUAUGCCAAAGAAAAAACUGUUGCAUGUACAAAUUGCCCAUGGUUUUGAAGUCUAAUAAAGAAGAGAUUCAAACAAGAACAGCCAAAGACAAAGCAGAUAAAGGUUGAUAUCAAGUGUUGUGAUUUCACCAAAUGGGCUAUGCCAGAGGACAAAGCAGGAAGGCCAACAAGGGGAAGAGGACAGCAGCAUGAAUGCACAAUGGAGGACAGUCUUCUGAGCUGAGCUGAGCUGAGGCGAAGUCAUGAUGGCAUUGUGGCGGUGGGGAGGAGCGGAUUGCAGUGGCGUUCCCACUCCGGGCAAAAAGCUUUGAGCCUUUGCUGUCGGUCUGUGAAAGCAGGAUCGCAGAGAAGACACGAAGAUGAAGGCAAACUGGUUUCCCGCUGCAUGCACUCGACGAUUUGUCGUCGUGGGGUCUCCUCGAGCCUCAGUGCCAUGCAACGUGCUCUUCCAUGUCUCUCGCCGGCCAACCUCUGAGAACUCUCUCUCUCUCUCUCUCUCUCUCUCCCACAUUGCCAUCUAAUUGCUAUCAUAGCACCAAAUCAGAAUGAUAAGUAGCCUUGGAGAAUAUUUCCCCAAACUGCAUAUGAUUAAGGUCUUCCUACU
Molecule: non-coding RNA, 611 nt
Organism: Musa acuminata subsp. malaccensis (wild Malaysian banana)
Lineage: Eukaryota; Viridiplantae; Streptophyta; Magnoliopsida; Zingiberales; Musaceae
Source: RefSeq, a predicted model, not a curated record